Long non-coding RNA from Pristis pectinata (smalltooth sawfish), 150 nucleotides. RefSeq lists it as uncharacterized. The record is from RefSeq and is a predicted model, not a curated record. The transcript has 3 exons. NCBI's taxonomy places the organism in Eukaryota, Metazoa, Chordata, Chondrichthyes, Rhinopristiformes, Pristidae.
AAUGUUUGCAACUCCUGCAAUAACUGAGGGUUCUUGCAGAAGUAGAUAUUCCAAAUUGACUGCUGCGUUGUACGGACCGACUCUCACAAAAGGAUCGGCUACUGACAAGGUCACUUGAAGAUAAAAACACGUUUGACAAGUGAAGAACAC